GGACAGUUAGCUCAGCUGGCAGAGCAACGGACUCUUAAUCCGUGGGUCCAGGGUUCGAUCCCCUGACUGUCCAUCA
This 76-nucleotide transfer RNA is filed under the name Periweissella beninensis. RNAcentral's name for it is "tRNA-Lys". It matches the Rfam family "tRNA". Rfam says of the family: Transfer RNA (tRNA) molecules are approximately 80 nucleotides in length. Their secondary structure includes four short double-helical elements and three loops (D, anti-codon, and T loops). RNAcentral also lists the same sequence under 1 other name. Lineage: Bacteria; Bacillati; Bacillota; Bacilli; Lactobacillales; Lactobacillaceae. The record is from RNAcentral.